Molecule: non-coding RNA, 1057 nt
Organism: Xyrichtys novacula (pearly razorfish)
Lineage: Eukaryota; Metazoa; Chordata; Actinopteri; Labriformes; Labridae
Source: the annotation of a GenBank genome assembly
CCUCUUCAACUUCUCCCUCUAUCAACAUCAGGCUCUGCUGCUCCCAGCAAUGAUGGAGUGUUACCUGUGGCAAGGUCGGAUGCAGCAGGGUCUCUGCUGUUUCGUGGAGUUCCGUGGGGCAGUCAAUUUUGCUGCCCCGGAAAAACUGUGUCCCGCUCUCAACAUUAUGCCUCCCUCUUUGCCACUCUUCCUGCCACAGUUUCGAACAGUACAAUUUUAUGUACAUCUCCCCCACACGAACUGAUAAGGCAUUUUGUUGUCUGCCUGUGUUAUAUCCAGCCGUUGAUGGUCUGGUAAAGGAGAUGACAUUCUUUCCCUUUCAGCCAUCACCUGUGGAGCCCUGGGUUGCUGGCUUGCUGAGCCCUGGCUGUCAGUAGGAAGUGUUUUAUUUACAAUACUCCUUUAAGUAGCAUGUUUACAUGACCAAUUUAUUGAUUUAUUUGUUUUGCAGUGCACAGCCUGUCCUCACCGCUGCCCCUGAUACCAGGAUGAUAAUAUCAAUUAAAAAAAAUCAAGAGCAAACAACAAAAAUCUGUGCAUGUCCAUUUUGUCUUUCAAGCUUGAAGUUUCAAUAUUGUAGUUGCUGUGAUUGUUGAUGGACAAAGGUAUCACAAUUUCAGUGGUUUCUGAUAUUGUUUAGCUCAAUUGUUAAAGGCUCUUCACAUGGUGGUUAGACUGAGGCUAACACCCCGUUACUUACUGGAUUCAAACUCCAGCAGCCCUGGACCCACAUUCACUUCUUUUCUUGUGUUCAGAUUACUAAGCCUUAACUAAAGUUGGCUCAUAAAAUUUGUCAUGGCCCAUUUAGCCAAGUCCUCUGUUGUGGGUUUUAAAAACAGACCAUGAAAUUUGUUUUCAAAGUCUGAUACAGGACUGUUAUACGUGUUUUUAAGGGUUUAGAAUAGCCUAAGGCUAAGUUUGCACAUGUGAAAAACCUUGAACAAAAUUGAAUUAUAAUUAUUACAAUUAGUCAACAGUAAAACAACAAAUGUGAAACACAAAAAUUAUGGAAUGGAACAUGAGGAAUAAUGUGAAAAAAUAACUCAGCAGUUUACUG